This is a long non-coding RNA of Mobula hypostoma (lesser devil ray), 260 nucleotides long. RefSeq lists it as uncharacterized. The transcript is spliced from 4 exons. Lineage: Eukaryota; Metazoa; Chordata; Chondrichthyes; Myliobatiformes; Myliobatidae. The record is from RefSeq and is a predicted model, not a curated record.
GGAAGGUUUGUGCAGUAUUCACCCUCCAGGAAAAGACUUAUUAUAUUAAUGAACACCAUUCUGAGAAGGUUGAGCUACUUUGAACGUUUAGUAGUAAAAAUACACUGUUUCAAGGAUCAAGUCAAAAAUCUUAAACAUCCUAAAACUCCUUAUACAAUCCAUAUCACAGGUCCCUGAGUGUCAUGGCCUGAAGAUUGAUGGUGCACGGAUGUUGUCCUGGAUCCACGUUUCUGCAACAUCAAGUCCUCAACAGUUCAUCA